Molecule: long non-coding RNA, 367 nt
Organism: Limulus polyphemus (Atlantic horseshoe crab)
Lineage: Eukaryota; Metazoa; Arthropoda; Merostomata; Xiphosura; Limulidae
Exons: 3
Source: RefSeq, a predicted model, not a curated record
GUUUUCCAGUCACAUCGGGGAUUUAACCACUUUUUAACCUUGUACUGGCACGCACGUGUGUCAACCUCGGGAGAGGGGCAAGGGGAAGACGAUAUGUCACCAAAGAUGAUGACGUCAUAGUUCAAAGUUCACCAGAGGACGCGUUGCUAGGCCAUCAUGACGCAAGUUGUGACUACAUUCAAGUAAUGGAUAACAGCAGAAAAACUGGUGAACCAGCAAAUUAAUCUUCUUGAUCCGGGAGCGGGUCAAGCGAUCACAGCGACAGCGGAAGAAGACUAUUACAGUAAUUAUUAGUAAGAACUUCUGAGUAAAAGUGAAGAAGUGUAUAAAUAUACAAUACUUUUGUAGUAAAUUUCUCACAACAUUU